Molecule: long non-coding RNA, 1245 nt
Organism: Xenopus laevis (African clawed frog)
Lineage: Eukaryota; Metazoa; Chordata; Amphibia; Anura; Pipidae
Exons: 2
Source: RefSeq, a predicted model, not a curated record
UUGAAAAGAUUCAUUAUCUGAAAAACCCCAGGUCCCGAGCAUUGUGCAUAACAGGUCCCAUACCUGUAUCAUAAAUAAGUCACUGAUUUACAGACUUGUGUAAUACUGUAAGUGUAGUGGCAGUUUUCAUGAACAGAAAAAAGGAUUUUCAUAAAAACUAACUUGACUUCCAUGCAAGUAGAAGUAUACUGGUUACUGUAUAAUCUGCCGUUGCUAAUCACACUUCUUACAGAACACUUACCUAGAAGAGUCAGACAGGAUAGUGACCAGCCUUUAACCUUGUACAACCGACAGGUGCUUUUAUAUCUUUCAUUAAUUAUCCCUUUCACUUUCUGUUGUUAUUCCAUUGGCUGGAAAUAUAUCAAGUUUUUGGUUCCCGUUUUAUGCAAGUGAUUCAUAAAAAAAUAUUUUUUUCACAGACAUAGCUGAUUCCAAUCAAUAAUCAUGCACUUGUCUUGUUAAUCUUAUCCUUAUUGUCUUGGUCUAUGUCACACUAUGUGACCUGACUGAAUCCAGACCACUAGACUAUUUACAACCCACCUUAAUUACUUUUAUUAUCUUUAAAAGUCAUCUCUGUCUAUCUUUAACUUUCUAAAUUAUUGCCAUUAAACCCCUUUUCAUUGAUCUAACAGUAUAAAUAAUGUGCCUUUUUAACUUUCAUUUGUAUUUUGCCUGAAGAAGGGGCCUGUGUGCUAUGAAAGCUUGCAAUUGUUACUUAUUAAGUUAGCCAAUAAAAGGUAUCACAAACUUUAAAAUUUUUUGCACAGCUGAUUCUACAAAUUGAAAUGAAACCAUGAUACUCUGUCAAACAAUUUCCCUUAGGCUUACAGUGUAUUGCAACCUCCUUGUUCCAUUAUAAAGACAUGGACCUCCCUCCAUCAAAGUCAUCUAAUCAACAUCAAGCCCAUCAAGGAUGGUGGUUGGGAUGGUGGGUGGGUAACAAGGAAAUCUGCUAUUUGCAAAACCAUAUAUCGAUGCAAGCUAGGAUGAAACCAAGAGGAACCUCUUCACAGAAACAGACUCGUGCUAAGAAGGUCACGACGGUUGUGGUUAUGCCCCUCUGCACCUGUUUCCUGAAGACGACUGCUACAUUAAACCGCAUAACAUAUUUUUGUAGUUUGUACUUUUCCAUUUGAAGCUAUAUAGCAAAAACGCAAGCUUACGGGGGUGUCAUAACCCCCACUUAGCCUAUAUAACCUUUGUGUGCCUUAGAAUAAAGCAGAGAGAAGCAUUUUGUAUACUGAA